UAUUUCACAUGGAGGAGUGUGCAUCUUUAUGUUGGGUGUUCUUCUGUCGUGCGACCCGGCGGCUUAUGUGCGACCUGUGGCCCACGCCUCCUAUUUGUUCAGGGCGGGCGGCGUGAACUCUGAUUCGAUCCGGGUAUUCAAUCCCGCCGCUGAGAUGCUCAGUUGACUCCUUAACCUUGAUAGGAAGAUGGCUUAUUCAAUAAUUCGUGCAUAAGGGUAAGGAACCUUGGAUGAACUAAUGCGAAUGGGGGCCCACGCCUCCUAUUCGUUCAGAGCGGGCGGCGUGAACUCUGAUUCGAUCUGGGUAUUCAAUCCCGCCGCUGGGAUGCUCAGUUGACUCCUUAACCUUGAUAGGAAGAUGGCUUAUUCACUAAUUCGUGCAUAAGGGCAAAGAACUUUGGAUGAACUAAUGCGAAUGGGUGUAAGCC
RNAcentral lists this long non-coding RNA (428 nucleotides) under Nicotiana benthamiana. RNAcentral describes it as "long non-coding RNA (NBEN_LNC007250)". Lineage: Eukaryota; Viridiplantae; Streptophyta; Magnoliopsida; Solanales; Solanaceae. The record is from RNAcentral.